AACACAAUAGGCCCACCGGAAGGUGGGCCUGGUAAAU
This 37-nucleotide ribosomal RNA is filed under the name Tripneustes kermadecensis. Its description in RNAcentral is "partial 12S ribosomal RNA". The record is from RNAcentral. Lineage: Eukaryota; Metazoa; Echinodermata; Echinoidea; Temnopleuroida; Toxopneustidae.